ACUUUGAUUCUGGCUCGGGACGAACGCUGGCGGCGCGCCUAACACAUGCAAGUCGAGCGGGAAGCUUUUUAAGGAUUCUUCGGAUGAAUUAAAAAGUGGAGAGCGGCGGACGGGUGAGUAACGCGUGAGAAACCUGCCCUAUACAGGGGGAUAGCCAUUGGAAACGAUGAUUAAUACCCCAUAUGACCACAGUAUCGCAUGAUACAGCGGUGAAAACUCCGGUGGUAUAGGAUGGUCUCGCGUCUGAUUAGCUAGUUGGUGGGGUAACGGCCUACCAAGGCGACGAUCAGUAGCCGGCCUGAGAGGGUGACCGGCCACACUGGAACUGAGACACGGUCCAGACUCCUACGGGAGGCAGCAGUGGGGAAUAUUGCACAAUGGGCGAAAGCCUGAUGCAGCGACGCCGCGUGAACGAUGAAGGCUUUCGAGUCGUAAAGUUCUGUUCUUGGGGAAGAUAACGACGGUGCCCAAGGAGAAAGCACCGGCUAAAUACGUGCCAGCAGCCGCGGUA
This 511-nucleotide ribosomal RNA is filed under the name uncultured bacterium. Its description in RNAcentral is "bacterial SSU rRNA". It matches the Rfam family "Bacterial small subunit ribosomal RNA", at positions 10 to 522 of the family's 1533-position model. The record is from RNAcentral.